GACGAACGCUAGCGGUAGGCUUAACACAUGCAAGUCGAGGGGCAGCAUGGUCUUAGCUUGCUAAGACUGAUGGCGACAGGCGUACGGGUGCGUAACGCGUAUGCAACUUGCCUCACAGAGGGGGAUAACCCGCCGAAAGACGGACUAAUACCGCGUACACUUUGGAUAGGGCAUCCUGACCAAAGGAAAUGAAUUUCGCUGUGCGAUAGGCAUGCGAGCCAUUUGCUGGUUGGUGGGGUGACGGCUGACCAAGGCGAGGAUGGGUAGGGGAAGUGAGAGGGUGAGCCCCCAGAGGGGGACUGGGACCCGGGGCAGUCUGCUACGGGAGGGAGCAGUGCGGGAGGUUGCACAGUGGGCGAGUGCCUGAUCCGGCCAAGUCGCGUGAAGGAUGGCUGUGUUAGGGAUGAUAAACUUCUUUUAGAAGGGAAUAACAGGAGCCACGUGUGGCUGCCUGCAGGUACCGGAUGAAUAAGCAUCGGCUAACUCCGUG
Molecule: ribosomal RNA, 490 nt
Filed under: uncultured bacterium
Lineage: Bacteria
Description: partial 16S ribosomal RNA
Rfam family: Bacterial small subunit ribosomal RNA
Source: RNAcentral